GUGGGGAAUUUUGGACAAUGGGCGCAAGCCUGAUCCAGCAAUGCCGCGUGCAGGAAGAAGGCCUUCGGGUUGUAAACUGCUUUUGUACGGAACGAAACGGUCCUGGUUAAUACCUCGGAGGGAUGACGGUACCUGAAGAAUAAGCACCGGCUAACUACGUGCCAGCAGCCGCGGUAAUACGUAGGGUGCGAGCGUUAAUCGGAAUUACUGGGCGUAAAGCGUGAGCAGGCGGUUUUGUAAGAUCGAUGUGAAAUCCCCGGGCUCAACCUGGGAACUGCAUUGGUGACUGCAAGGCUGGAGUGCGGCAGAGGGGGAUGGAAUUCCGCGUGUAGCAGUGAAAUGCGUAGAUAUGCGGAGGAACACCGAUGGCGAAGGCAAUCCCCUGGGCCUGCACUGACGCUCAUGCACGAAAGCGUGGGGAGCAAACAGGAUUAGAUACCCUGGUAGUCC
This 450-nucleotide ribosomal RNA is filed under the name uncultured bacterium. RNAcentral describes it as "partial 16S ribosomal RNA". It matches the Rfam family "Bacterial small subunit ribosomal RNA", at positions 354 to 796 of the family's 1533-position model. The record is from RNAcentral.